UACGUUGAAGCACCAAUACCCGUACAACCACUGAAGUUAAGCAACAUUGAGCCUGCUCAGUAGCUAGAUGGGUGACCUCUUGGGAAUAGCAGGCGCUGUA
Non-coding RNA from Acanthosepion pharaonis, 100 nucleotides. NCBI's taxonomy places the organism in Eukaryota, Metazoa, Mollusca, Cephalopoda, Sepiida, Sepiidae. The record is from the annotation of a GenBank genome assembly.